GGUACGAGUACGUGUGUCAAUUUAAUAAAUUGUACUGUCAUUAAAGCGAUUCUUUUUGAUUAAAGUAAAUCAUGUUCACAGUUUCUAUCGUUCAGUGAAAUUAUCAAAGAACUCAAUAAGUUAAAUAUUAUUGUGAUUUAGUUAACUAAAGUUUUAUUCUAAAAUAAAAUGGCUGAGACAAAUCCACAAGCCGGCGAUACGGGCCCACCGAAGGGCAUUCCUGCUUUAAAAGCACACGUCAUAGCGAACAAAGUUGAUGUAGCGCUUUGGGGAAUUCGCCUGCUCACAGUUCUUUUCACUAUUGGUUAUGUCAUACCUAUCUUUAACAACCCCGUGUCAGCAUUCUUUAAAGCCCUGCUAGCAAACGCCGCGACGUCCGCGCUGCGGCUGCACCAGCGCAUCCCGGCGCGGGAGAUCGCUCUGUCGCGGGAGUUCAUCAACCGUUUCUUCCUAGAGGACAGCGCACACUAUCUCUUCUACUCGCUCAUAUUCAUGAAUGUGGCUCCUAAUUUAUUAAUUUUGACGCCAAUCUUUUUAUUCGCUUUACUGCACGCCGCGUCGUACUCACUCACAAUCCUUGACACGCUGGGACAGAACUCGAUGUGGGUGGCGCGGCUGCUCAUCUCGCUGGUGGAGUUCCAGUCGCGGAACAUCCUGCGCGUGGCCGCGCUCGCCGAGAUCGUGCUGUUCCCGCUCGUCGUCAUCAUGGCUUUCGUCGGGUACUGCGGCCUCAUGACCCCGUUCGUGUACUACUACUUCGUGACGUGGCGCUACGCGUCCCGACGCAACCCCUACACGCGCAACACCUUCCGCGAGCUGCGCGUGCUCGCCGAGCGCACCGCCGAGCGCCCCGCCCUCCCCGCGCCGCUGCGCUCCGCCCUCGGCGCCGCCGUGCAGCUCGUGUGCCGCAUGGCGCCGCCCGUCGAGACGGUGCAGCAGUGAGUGCGUCUCUCUCUAACACUACACACUCGGCGCGCCGUGCAGCUCGUGUGCCGCAUGGCGCCGCCCGUCGAGACGGUGCAGCAAUAACGCACGGAUCGACACUCGCGAGUGAUACCAUCGUCGACUACAUCACUAAGUCCAGUUGCAUAUGAGGGUCUUUUAAGAUUGCAAAAUAACUUUUUAAGUUUUCGCUUUCCACAGAUUUACUGCGAAUAUUUUUUACUAUAGUUAUUAAUAAAAAAGCUGUUUAAGGCCGUGGAUAUGACAUGCAAUAACAUUAAAUGGUACAAUGAAUGUCUACGCAAAAAAAAAGUAUAUUAUAAGUACACAAUGUAUUUUUGCAUUUUCAAACGUCUUGGUUGUUAAUAAGUAUUGUAAACGGGAUAACGUGUGGUAUAUUAUUAUGUUAAGUUAAUAUUAUUUAAUACGGAGAAGUGAACAAUUUUGGUCCAAUUUAAGUUAGAGAUUAGAAAAAAUAUAAUGUAUUGAAAUGUAUAGCGACAAACAUAUUUUAUAAAAUAUUUGUCUACUUCCAUUUAUUUGGUCAUAUAAAUUUUCUUCACUUGUAACAAGUCCGAUAUGAUUGAAAAGCUCGGUGAUCAUUCCAUUUAUAAUUUGGGAAUAUUGUAAAUUCCUUGAUUUAAGAAAUGACAAGAUUUUUACAAUCUUUCAUAUUGUUGCCGUUUCAUUAUUGUAUUAUAUAUCAAUUGCACAUGGUUUGGGAUGGAUGUAGCCUGGAUUUUUAAAUAAAAUGUUAGUAAGAACA
Nymphalis io (European peacock) is the source of this 1708-nucleotide RNA transcript. It is a transcript of the gene named Krueppel homolog 2, with no coding region annotated. The transcript has 7 exons. Lineage: Eukaryota; Metazoa; Arthropoda; Insecta; Lepidoptera; Nymphalidae. The record is from RefSeq and is a predicted model, not a curated record.